UGAAUGCAGCCCCCACCCCCUUUCUUCCUAAACCUAACGCUGAAACGGAAUCAGACAGGGAGAGAGGGAGGAAAUCAGAGUGUCAUCUAAGCAGCCACCGUUCAAUCGCCAGAGCCACCACCGGGGGUCCUUCGCCGUCAUUGUCGUCAACAUCCACCCGAGUUCCAGCGCUACGAAGUCCAGCCAUCGUGACCUUCGUGGAGCCCGCGUCGCUGUCGCCUCGGCUGUUCCCACCGCCGCUGGAUCCGUCGCACGUUGUCGUCUGAGGAGCCACCGCCGCCGUUGCUUGUUGUCUCCCUUAGGGCCGUCACCGUCGCUGGAGCCAGCCGCCUCCGUCGCUGUUCAUCCUUGUCGUCAUCAUCGCCAUUCUGUGGAGGCCGCAGAGAGGAACGCGAACCAGGAGCCAUAGCGCCGCCGCCGUCGAUCUGUCACCGUGCUGCUGCGUCGCCGUUGAUGAAGUUUCUGCCACCGCCGUGAACUGCGAAUAGAGGAGAGUUACUGCGUCGCCGUUAAUGAAACUUCUGCCACCGUCAUGAACUACGAAUAGAGGAGAGGAAAAGAGAUGAGUUCGCAAGGGAGAAGAGGAAGCAGCGCUGCCCUUCGUCGCCGCUGCUGCUAAGGUUUGUGGAAGAGAGUGUCGUCGUCGCCGUGAGUGGAGUCCACCGUCCGAGCCGCCACUAGAGAGCGCCGCUGCUACCAUGUGUACAGAGAAGAGGAGAGCCGCGAGAAUCAAGGGAAGAAGAUGUUGUUCUGCCUCUGCUUCUGGGUUUUGGAAUCUGACAUAAGCGCCACUGCCGCUGUUAGAGUUUAUGUUGCUCUGGCCUUGCUCUGGCUCUAAUCUGAAUUGUUACUGUUGCUGUUUGGCUGAUGCUGAGGCCUUCCAUCAUCAUUGGAGCUUCCCAGAAUCAUCGUGGUUGCUGCCAAGAGAGCUGAAUGGGUGCUGGAAAUUGCUAACGGAGCUGCUGUGCUUGGCAAUUUUCGUGAGUUUCGACAUUGAGGUAGG
This 1003-nucleotide long non-coding RNA is filed under the name Arachis ipaensis. RNAcentral's name for it is "long non-coding RNA (AIPA_LNC001218)". Lineage: Eukaryota; Viridiplantae; Streptophyta; Magnoliopsida; Fabales; Fabaceae. The record is from RNAcentral.